GAUGAAGAACGUAGCGAAAUGCGAUACUUGGUGUGAAUUGCAGAAUCCCGUGAACCAUCGAGUCUUUGAACGCAAGUUGCGCCCGAAGCCACUAGGCCGAGGGCACGCCUGCCUGGGCGUCACACGCCGUUGCCCCCCCAUCUACUCCUUCGGGAUUGCGGGGGGGCGGAUGAUGGCCUCCCGUGCGCCUAGCCGCGCGGUUGGCAUAAAUACCAAGUCCUCGGCGACGCACGCCACGACAAUCGGUGGUUGCGAAACCUCGGUUGCCCGUCGUGUGCGUUCGUCGCGCAUCGAGGGCUCGAAAAAAUGCUCGGCUCCGGCUGGGCUUUCAACGCGACCCCAGGUCAGGCGGGGUUACCCGCUGAAUUUAAGCAUAUCAAUAAGCGGAGGA
Molecule: unclassified non-coding RNA, 391 nt
Filed under: soil metagenome
Description: partial contains 5.8S ribosomal RNA, internal transcribed spacer 2, and large subunit ribosomal RNA
Rfam family: 5.8S ribosomal RNA (bases 1-122)
Source: RNAcentral